Molecule: long non-coding RNA, 2150 nt
Organism: Beta vulgaris subsp. vulgaris (sugar beet)
Lineage: Eukaryota; Viridiplantae; Streptophyta; Magnoliopsida; Caryophyllales; Amaranthaceae
Exons: 3
Source: RefSeq, a predicted model, not a curated record
UGCCAAAGUGUAUGUUCCCAUAAAUUAAUUGUUCUCUUCAAUAUUUCAGCUUAAUUACCCAAGUGUUUGAGAAUUGGGAGAAACCCCAAACCCAAAAUAAAAAACCCCAAACAAUAAUUUUCUCUCUCCUCUGAUUUUAUACCCCGUACUGUGCAUGCUCAAUUUCUGCAAUUUGGAGUCGGAAUUUGCGAAAACUUAUUCAAUCAAAGUUGUAGAUCUCGAAAAGUUAUUGAACUUAGACCCAAAAAUCACUUGAUUUGGAGUUCGGAGCUAUGAGUUAUGGUCUUUGUAAGUUUGGUGUUCCUAUCUCCAUUUCUCUCUCCUAUGUUUUUAUUCCGACAAUCUGUUUCCUCAAUUAUCUACAACAUGCAGUCAAAUUUUGCUCUUUGUUGCUGAAUGAAAGUUGUAGAUCACUUCGAGCUAAUAAAUUUGGGCAUGAAAAUCACAUGAUUUGGAGUUCGGAGCUAUGAGUUAUGGUCUUUGUAAGUUUGGUGUUCCUAUCUCCAUUUCUCUCUCCUAUGUUUUUAUUCCGACAAUCUGUUUCCUCAAUUAUCUACAACAUGCAGUCAAAUUUUGCUCUUUGUUGCUGAAUGAAAGUUGUAGAUCACUUCGAGCUAAUAAAUUUGGGCAUAAAAACCACUUGAUUUGGAGUUCGGAGCUAUGAGUUAUGGUCUUUGUAAGUUUGGUGUUCCUAUCUCCAUUUCUCUCUCCUAUGUUUUUAUUCCGACAAUCUGUUUCCUCAAUUAUCUACAACAUGCAGUCAAAUUUUGCUCUUUGUUGCUGAAUGAAAGUUGUAGAUCACUUCGAGCUAAUAAAUUUGGGCAUAAAAAUCACUUGAUUUGGAGUUCGGAGCUAUGAGUUAUGGUCUUUUCAAAUUUUGCUCUUUGUUGCUGAAUGAAAGUUGUAGAUCACUUCGACCUAAUAAAUUUGGGCAUAAAAAUCACUUGAUUUGGAGUUCGGAGCUAUGAGUUAUGGUCUUUGUAAGUUUGGUGUUCCUAUCUUCAUUUCUCUCUCCUAUGUUUUUAUUCCGACAAUCUGUUUCCUCAAUUAUCUACAACAUGCAGUCCAAUUUUGCUCUUUGUUGCUGAAUGAAAGUUGUAGAUCACUUCGAGCUAAUGAAUUUGGGCACAAAAAUCGCUCAAUUCGGAGUUCGGAACUAAGAGUUACGCCUCACACAAGUUCAGCACUGCUGCUGUACCUUGUGUUGCGCUGCUGUCGUGGUUGGCUUGUUUGCCAUGUUGUCUUGCUAACUUGUUGCCUUGUUGCUGCCAUUGUUGGUAUUCCUUUCCAUAUGAAGGUAUAAGCUAAUUUUUCUUAAUUCCUCAUCUCCUUUGAUUCCGAUUCAAGUGUGGUGCGAUUGGAUUUUAUAUUAUGAUUUUAGAAAUAAACUUGGUUCGAAAUUUUGUUAUUGAUUAGCAAAUAUAGUUAUGAUAAAAGUUAAAAGUUUGUUCAACUUAAAGAUUAAAUCUUUCCUAUUUAUUUAAUGGGUUGGAUUGAGGCUUAUAAUUUGUAUUUAUAUUUCUUAAGUUAGUUUAUGAAAUCAAAUUUCAAUAAGCCAUGUUGUUUGAUAGUAUCCUCUAUCUGUGAAUUAGAAUGAGGUUAAUUGGAGUUAGAGAUUGAUAUAGUGAAGUGGAUUAGUAGAAUGGUUUGUAAAUAAGGAGUGUGGGUCGUUCAUGAGAGAGGUUAGUUAGAAGGUAUGAGAAAGUUAAUUUCUUUAUUUAAUUGGUAGUAAGGAUGUUAAUUGUUGUUCAUAUUGUUGUGAGGUGAUUGUUGGAGAUUGAUAAAGAAUUUGGAAAUGUUGGAAUCUUGAAGAUUAUUAUGGAAUUGAGCAUUCUUUGGGGAAAAUGAAAGAGAGUUCAUUGUUAGUGAUCUUGCAGGUUCGUGCGUGGAAAACUCGGAAUGGAGUAAAGGAAGAAUUUAGGUAUUAAGGUUAUAGUGAGAUGUAAUGGUUCAGAGUUUGUAUUAGGGUUAUAUAACCUUAUUUGUGAAGAAAUUAUUAUAGUGCUUUAGAAGUCGAGCAAGGUAUUAUUGUAAUAUGUUAUUGGUUAUUGAGGAUGUGUUGUGGGCCCUGACCCACAGGUCCAGGAUCGUGUAUUGAAGGUUUUAUUCCGCUGCGAGUAAAUAAUUAAUUCAAGGCUAUUAAGUGUUGA